CAGACAGGAGCGGGGAGGACAGACAGGCGUGCACAGAGAGUGACACACUGACAGACGGGGACAGGGAAGGGCUGCCACCCAGACACAUGCUAACAAGGAUGGGCACACACUCGGUGUCAGGAAGGGGCAGUUAGGCGGUCGGACGCACUUGGGCAGGGGACCCCUGGCCAGGGCAGAAACCCAAGGCAAAGUGGAGACCGGACGGCAGGUAGAGGGGCUCCCUUGCCCAGUUGCUGGCAGGGUCCCUUUGUUCUUAGGACCUUUACUCCUUGGCCCGUGGAGCAGGUGUCAUAACAUUCCCUGCCUUCAGAGACACACAGACCAUUGUGGCUCCCAGACAUCAGCAAGCACAUCUCUGUCCUGCCUGCAGGUGCAAAGUGCUGACUCCUGAAGAGCUCAGCCGGCCUGAGCCCGAGAGGCUUCUCAAGACAGCAGAAUUUCAAACUAAAACCAGGUAGCCCCGUGCAAGCCAGGCUGAAUCUGUCACUCCCCAGAGCCCUGCCUGGCCAUCAAGGAUGGCCCCGCUGUGUCCAGCUGCACAGAAGCCGUCUGUCCUGUCCGACCCAUGCUGACACUGUUGCCACCAGAUUCUCAAGUUCUUGUCUGCAAACUCCCUGCAUCAUUCCUCACUCAGCAAAACACUGUGAGCUCUGCAUUGUGCCCCUGGCAUGGCUUGGCCAGCCUGGUGCCCCAGGGCCUGCAAGACUCGCUCUGUUCAACCAGAAGAUAAUCUUCUCUGGUUCCCUGAAUCCAAAGGUAGAAGUUACUUUGCUUUCUUCGAUGUGAAGAUUCACUUCCUGCUCAGAGUCCUCACCUGAAAUGCAACCUCCUAUGCUCAGCGUUAAAACUUCCUGUGUAACAUCAAACCUCCCCCCACAGCAACCAAUACCCAGGUGUAUCCCAGGUUAACACAGCUUCCCACACCCUGGACUAGAAACGCACAUGGCAGAGUCCUGUGGAGAUCUCUAGGUCUUACUGCACACGCAAAUUUCCUGAAAGCCUCUAGCUGGGCUGAGAAACAGGCCCCAGCUGCUUACCUCACAGCUGUGAAAAGCAAGCUGUCAGUGGGUCCGAGCGUGGAAGGUGCCUCCGAGGCCCACGCAGCCGUAAACGUGGUGUCUUUCACCCCAUGGAUUGUGGUGGUUCUAGUCUAGAAAGCUGCGGGAGAGGUGGAGCUCAAGAACGCUGAAGGCUCUGAGGUGUGACCAGGGUCAGAGAGCCGUGAAGGUAAGGAGUCCCCCACAACAUUUCUGGGUUCAAGGACCAUGACUUCACAAGCGAUGUAACUAAUUUAAAAAUUGUUUAUCUUCUUAAGAAAGCAAAGCCUUUUGAUCUGAAAUAAUAGUUGGGGAUGGAAUUGACCUAGAGUUGGUGUUUUUCAGUUAUAAGAAAGUGUUUA
Molecule: long non-coding RNA, 1399 nt
Organism: Ochotona curzoniae (black-lipped pika)
Lineage: Eukaryota; Metazoa; Chordata; Mammalia; Lagomorpha; Ochotonidae
Exons: 3
Source: RefSeq, a predicted model, not a curated record